UUGGCUAAUGCGAGCAAUGGCUCAUACUUGAUUGUCUAAGAUGGAGUAGUUUCAGCAUUUGAUGUAUUAACUAGAAUAUUUACUUCUUCACUAUCUCUCUCUAUAUCACAGUCAUCCACUCCAAAGUACGUCAAGUGGGUGUCUCAAAAAUUAUGUGCAAAAAUCAUUGAUGUUGCUUCCUCUAUGAUAUCCUCGAAUGUAUCUAUCACGAAGCAACUAUCAGUUGAUGGUUCCUG
RNAcentral lists this long non-coding RNA (236 nucleotides) under Elaeis guineensis (African oil palm). Its description in RNAcentral is "long non-coding RNA (EGUI_LNC014833)". The record is from RNAcentral. Lineage: Eukaryota; Viridiplantae; Streptophyta; Magnoliopsida; Arecales; Arecaceae.